RNAcentral lists this long non-coding RNA (3522 nucleotides) under Triticum aestivum (bread wheat). RNAcentral describes it as "long non-coding RNA (TAES_LNC018226)". Lineage: Eukaryota; Viridiplantae; Streptophyta; Magnoliopsida; Poales; Poaceae. The record is from RNAcentral.
GGGUGCCGUCCUCCUUCAAACUGGAAUACCCAAGGGCGAUGUCGGCCGGGUCUAGCUCCGGUAGCCACGCCUUGGCCCGGCUUAAAGCGGCUAUGGCUCCGGCUCUUGCAGAAGCUCGUCUCAAUUCCUGGAAUCGUUGAGGUAGCACGGCAAGCCGCCUUAGCACAUCCGCCAGACGAGUGGGAACUUCAUUUGACAGAGCCACGACGGCUAAGGCACGUUGUGACCCGGUGUAGAGUUGUUCCGCCAGGGUAUAAACGGCCUUCAGCUUUGUCAGCAUGUUUUGGUUGAGAUUGGAACUCCUGGGGCCUGCAUUACAAGGUCAGGUGAGCUGAUGACAAUUGAGAUGCUUGUUGAAAAAGAUUUAAGCUAGCUAACACUUAUAGAGUAACUUACCAAAGAUUGCUGAGACCAUCUGAGAUACAUGGCGUUUUAAGCCGGAUAACUCGACGGUUGUUUCUGCAAGAGUGGCCUCCGCUUGUUCAGCCCGGUGGAGCAAAACAACCUUUUCAUCAGCCCAAGCUUUUCUCUCGGCUUCAAACUUCUUUUUUAGUUUUUCUUAUUCGGAUACACUAAAUUCAAACUUGGAAUUGGCCUUUUGGGUCUCACUCUCUUGAGUUUUCAGGCGAGUCUUCAGCUCAGAGAUCUCCGAUUCAAAUUGAUUGAUAGCGGCCUGUAUAAAUUCCGGGUUACAGUUAGGGUUGUCAUAAUGCAACAUUAAGUCCCAAGCACUUUGCAAGCAAAGAUACUUGGCACUUGGGGGCUAAUGUAUGCUGAAGAACUCUAUUUACAGUGGCGGUUCAUGGAAAUAAGUCCCAAGCACUUUGCAGGCAAAGGUACUUGGCACUUGGUACUUGACACAUCCAGCCGGGUUUUGCGGCGUUCCAGAAGUUCUUUGGCGGAGCACUUCCAGCGCGGUGGGUCUCCCCGGUUCAACGAAGUCAGUCCGGAUGAUUUUGACGUCCGGGUCAUCCGCCUUGGCCAGGCUAGGGUUCUCUGGGUUCUCAGAACCUUCCAUAGCUUGUUCGACGGACGGAUCAGUGGUGAGAGUUGGAGUAUCAUGGGCUGGUUCAGGGGGCGGCUCAUAAGCGGAAGUAUCAGGAGCAGCCGUUCUGAGCUCCGGUUCAGCAAAGAUUGGCUCUUCGGCCGGCUUACUUCUCUUCGUCCUCUUGCUGGGCUUUACUUGUACACUGAAAAUUAAAGGGUUAGUACGAAAGCAUGAGUAAGAUCAGCACAAGAUAAACAGAUUAUCAUUACCCUGGAGCGGUUUUGAAAGCCGGCAUGCUGGACUGCAUUGAUUCGCCGGAGGAAGGUUAAGUUCCCUAGUAAUUUGAGUCAGAAGAAUUGAGUGGUUGACGAGUAAAACCCGCCAAAGGGUACAAAGAAUAUAAAUUGGAGAUAACCUCAGUCCGGCGUUUCCUGGUUACAUCGGGUAAGCCGGAGGAGAGGUCCGCAUCUUUACUGGUCCGGGUCUGCCUCCGACUCUCGUGAAUCUAUCGCUUCAAAAGAAAUUGAGGAUCUUGAUAAGCUAAAGGAUGUGAAAAUCUUACUUUCCGGGUUACCCUUCGGACUUUCUGUCUCGGCAAAGGCUCGGAGUCGGAGGAAAUUAUAGUUACCUCUUCAAUUACUGCAUGACUUGCUCCUGUAUCCUCCUGUUGAUAAUCAGUGUCAAUAAGAUGGUUAAAGAAGGAGCCUAAAGAGUCAAGAGUUACCUCUGACUCGGAGAUAUCGUCCAGAUGAAACAUAUCCGAGGCGCUAGGUUUGUUCCCCUUCUUACGGGCAGCGGCUUUCCUGGCGGCUUUCUUGGCCUUUCUGGCUUUCUUUGCAGCCUCAUGGUCAUACUUGACCUUCCAGAAUUUAUCAUCAGCCUGUAAAAUAUAGCAAGAGUUUUUAAGUAAAGAUAAAAUUAUUAAAGUGGAAAGUAAGAUGCUCAAGUUAAUGGUUUACCGCUGGAGCCGGGUUAGCCUUGCAGAAAGGACUUAAGCCCGCUUUCCCGCAAUCUGCCAGGCUCUCGUUCAGAAGAGACUUGGUCAUGUCAUCAACAACAUCCUCAGGUAAGUCGUCAGGACUGUGCCGUAGAGGAUCAUUUUUCUGGCCUGUGUAAUCACACAUCAAGCCGGAACGGCGGCUCAAAGGAAUCACCCGCCAGGCAAUCCAAACCCGGACCAAGUCAAUGCCGUUUAGGCCGUUCCCCAGAAGAGCUUUGAUCUUGUUUAUGGUGGGGGCAAGUGUUUGACGUUCAGCCGGAGAUAAUUUAUCUGGUAAGGGGUGAGUUGACUCCAGGCGCAGGGCGCGAAAGCCGGGCAAAGGGUUCUCAUUAGCCGGAGAAGUGUCUUGACAGUAGAACCAUGUCUGGUUCCAAUCUUUAGGGUGGCUCGGCCGCUCGGCAUAAGGGAAGAGACAGUCUCUACGUCGCUGGAUUAAGAUUCCGCCAAGCUCCAAGCUGGGCCUGUGGGCACAUUAGUUUUGACGGUUCAGAUAAAUUAACUCUCUAAAGAGUAGUAAGCUGGGUUCUUCUCCAAGGUACACCUCACAGAAUACUUGGAAAUUGCAGAUGUUUGACACGGAAUUGGGUCCGAUGUCUUGAGGUCGCAGGUCAAAAAAGUGCAAGACGUCUCUGAAAAUUUUUGAGCCAGGUGGAGCAAAGCCCCGGUUCAUGUGAUCAGUAAAAAUGACAACUUCCCCAUCCUUGGGUUGAGGCUUUUCUUCUAACAGGUCAGGAGCACGAUAAGACAUGAUCUCUUUCUUCGGCAGAUGACCAGUCUUCACAAAAUCGUUUAAGAUGCUAUCAGUGACGGUGGAUCUAACCCAGUUGCAUAUGACGGGUGCUUUGGGAGCCUUGGGUGGCAUUAUGAAGAUGGAAGCCUAUGACAAAGUAAAAAUUUCCGGCUCAAAUUUAAGCCAGAGAAAAUAUUUCAAUUCAUAUUCAAGAUGGCGGCUUAUGAAGGGGCCUAAUGAUAUAUGGCUAAUUGUGUCAGAUUGUUUAAGCCACCAUGGGCAUCAUAAGCAAUUAAGUUAUUUAAAUCCACUAUGAGUGAUCAGGAUUAUUCAUUGAGCAUUGCCUCUUUAAGCCGGCGAUAAGAGCCGCCAUGGCUAACGGAUACAGUUUUUGCCUAAGUAUCGCACAAACAGGUUUCACAGGUUGCGGCUGUUAUUUUGGAUCAAACGGUCGUUCAGAAAAGAAAAUAUUCUAGACCUAAAAACUGGUACAAAUGAGUUCGUGAGCUCUAAUGAGGUCUUUUUACAAGCAAAAGGGAUCUGCUAGUAUUGAAAAUGGACGCAAAACAACUACCGCAUGAGUUCUAUACCACUUUUGGAUCAAAGGAGACCGCGGUGGAAGAACUACGAAGAAACCGUGAUGAACUACGAAGAACACGGAAGAACGCAGAAACCCUAAUGCAGAUCUGACAUUCGAAAAGAGGAAUACUUACUGGAGUUGCUGAACAGCGGAGGUGCGUCGCAGUUCUCUGGUCAAAACAGGUUGAUGCAGCGGCCUUGGCUGGUGCAGACGCAAAGGUCGAC